UUUCCGUAGGUGAACCUGCGGAAGGAUCAUUAUUGUAUAACCGAGGUGCGAGGGCUGUUGAUGAACCGACAGGUCGAGCACGCCCGAGUGCUCACACAAACAUACAUCUCACCCCUAUGUGAACCACCGCGUGGGACCCUCUUUGGUUAGAUCGGAGGGGGGCUUAAGUUUUCACACAAAAUUUGUAUGAAGAGUAGAAUGUAUUUAUUGACAUUGCGAAAAAGCAAACAAUACAACUCUCAACAACGGAACUAUUGGAUCACGUAGCGAUGAAGAACG
RNAcentral lists this unclassified non-coding RNA (279 nucleotides) under plant metagenome. Its description in RNAcentral is "partial contains small subunit ribosomal RNA, internal transcribed spacer 1, and 5.8S ribosomal RNA". The record is from RNAcentral.